CGCUGGCGGCGCGUUUAAGCAUGCAAGUCGAGCGGCAAGGGCCUUCGGGCCCCUAGAGCGGCGGACGGGUGAGUAACACGUGGGCAAUCUGCCCCCCGGCCCGGGAUAGCCCAGGGAAACCUGGAUUAAUACCGGAUGAGACGGGACCCGCGAUGGCGGGACCCGGGAAAGGCGCUGCGGCGCCGCCGGGGGAUGAGUCUGCGUCCCAUUAGCUAGACGGCGGGGUAACGGCCCACCGUGGCGACGAUGGGUAGCCGGCCUGAGAGGGUGGACGGCCACAUUGGAACUGAGACACGGUCCAGACUCCUACGGGAGGCAGCAGCUAAGAAUCUUCCGCAAUGGGCGAAAGCCUGACGGAGCGACGCCCGCGUGAACGAAGAAGGCCGUGAGGUUGUAAAGUUCUUUUCGGGAGGGGGAACAACCGUGGCAGGGAAUGGCCGCGGGAUGACGUGAAUCCCGGAAUAAGCCCCGGCUAACUACGUGCCAGCAGCGGC
This 494-nucleotide ribosomal RNA is filed under the name uncultured bacterium. Its description in RNAcentral is "bacterial SSU rRNA". It matches the Rfam family "Bacterial small subunit ribosomal RNA", at positions 34 to 518 of the family's 1533-position model. The record is from RNAcentral.